RNAcentral lists this unclassified non-coding RNA (780 nucleotides) under Hevea brasiliensis (rubber tree). The record is from RNAcentral. Lineage: Eukaryota; Viridiplantae; Streptophyta; Magnoliopsida; Malpighiales; Euphorbiaceae.
AACAAAAAUAGAAAGUUAUCAAAUCACUAUUGUUUUAAAAUGUAAAAUUUUGCGUCCAUCCUCAAGGUGAAGUGUUAAAGAUCAUUGUGUUAUACCAUCAAGAAUUGAAACGGUAUUUGAUCUACCAUAUACAGUGCAAAAUGGCAUAACCCGAAUCUGUCACGACUCAACCCAAUCUAUUUCUACUGUCGAGUCGGUUCAGUUUAUACUAUAAACCGAAUUAACUUGAUAGAUGUCGGGUCGGGUUGGUUUGAAAGCAAAUCCGACCUGAUCCAGCCAGAGUUGGUUUGAAAGCAAAUCCAACCUGUGAACAGCCCUAGUAUUAAUUGAAAGCCAUGGGUUAAUAUGCUAUUGACUGCCUAACAUGCUGUGAGUCCUUUAAUUGGUAUGGUAAAGUCAAUUUUCUUAAAUUUGCCAUGGACCUUCGUUUGGUAUGGCAAAGUCAUUUUUCUUAAAUUGGUCAUGGACCUUUAUUAAAGAACUCUUUUUCCCUCCUGGUAUAUGGUACAUAUGUUAGGAAAUAAUUAUGGAAACACAGGAUAUGCGAGGUGGGAGGACAUUCUUCAUUUCUGUCUGGGAGAUUGUGUGGUGUAUAGAUGAGUGUUCUGAAGGAUUUGUUUCCUGAUGUCUUAUAUUGCAGUGAAACAAUUAUAACUGUGGAUUUUCAAGUCAAGAAAUGCAGUGGGGGUAGCGUUUUUACUCUUGACGUUGAUUAUUUGAGGGAGUCUGUUGCUGCAAGUUUAGAUAAAUAUGCUUCAUGUUAUGGAAAGUCAAUCACUA